CGCUUAGGCGUGUGACUGCGUACCUUUUGUAUAAUGGGUCAGCGACUUAUAUUCUGUAGCAAGGUUAACCGAAUAGGGGAGCCGAAGGGAAACCGAGUCUUAACUGGGCGUUAAGUUGCAGGGUAUAGACCCGAAACCCGGUGAUCUAGCCAUGGGCAGGUUGAAGGUUGGGUAACACUAACUGGAGGACCGAACCGACUAAUGUUGAAAAAUUAGCGGAUGACUUGUGGCUGGGGGUGAAAGGCCAAUCAAACCGGGAGAUAGCUGGUUCUCCCCGAAAGCUAUUUAGGUAGCGCCUCGUGAAUUCAUCUCCGGGGGUAGAGCACUGUUUCGGCAAGGGGGUCAUCCCGACUUACCAACCCGAUGCAAACUGCGAAUACCGGAGAAUGUUAUCACGGGAGACACACGGCGGGUGCUAACGUCCGUCGUGAAGAGGGAAACAACCCAGACCGCCAGCUAAGGUCCCAAAGUCAUGGUUAAGUGGGAAACGAUGUGGGAAGGCCCAGACAGCCAGGAUGUUGGCUUAGAAGCAGCCAUCAUUUAAAGAAAGCGUAAUAGCUCACUGGUCGAGUCGGCCUGCGCGGAAGAUGUAACGGGGCUAAACCAUGCACCGAAGCUGCGGCAGCGACGCUUAUGCGUUGUUGGGUAGGGGAGCGU
RNAcentral lists this ribosomal RNA (657 nucleotides) under Escherichia coli. RNAcentral describes it as "partial 23S ribosomal RNA". It matches the Rfam family "Bacterial large subunit ribosomal RNA", at positions 582 to 1239 of the family's 2925-position model. The record is from RNAcentral. Lineage: Bacteria; Pseudomonadati; Pseudomonadota; Gammaproteobacteria; Enterobacterales; Enterobacteriaceae.